AUACGGAGGAUCCGAGCGUUAUCCGGAUUUAUUGGGUUUAAAGGGUGCGCAGGCGGCCAUUUAAGUCAGCGGUUAAAUCGUGGGGCUCAACCCCAUUCUGCCGUUGAUACUGGGUGGCUGGAUUGCGGUCGAGGUUGGCGGAAUUCGUUGUGUGGCGGUGAAAUGCAUAGAUAUGACGAAGAACACCGAUUGCGUAGGCAGCUGACCAGACCGCAAAUGACGCUCAUGCACGAAAGUGCGGGGAUCGAACAGGAUUAGAUACCCUGGUAGUCCGCACAGUAAACGAUGAAUACUUGUUUUCGGCGAUAUAAUGUCGGAGGCAAAGCGAAAGCGAUAAGUAUUCCACCUGGGGAGUACGCCGGCAACGGUGAAACUCAAAGGAAUUGACGGGG
This 392-nucleotide ribosomal RNA is filed under the name uncultured bacterium. RNAcentral's name for it is "partial 16S ribosomal RNA". It matches the Rfam family "Bacterial small subunit ribosomal RNA", at positions 523 to 918 of the family's 1533-position model. The record is from RNAcentral.